Molecule: ribosomal RNA, 2111 nt
Filed under: Triticum aestivum (bread wheat)
Lineage: Eukaryota; Viridiplantae; Streptophyta; Magnoliopsida; Poales; Poaceae
Description: partial small subunit ribosomal RNA
Source: RNAcentral
AAGAAAAACAAGGUCCACGCCCCCGCACAGCUCGCUCGAUCCCCUUUCCCCUCUCGCUUUCCUGUCUCUCUCUCCACAAAACACCGCCGCCGCCGCCGAUUCCUCCUGGGCAUGGCCGUCUCCGGCGCUGCCAUCAAUAGAAGCGACUCCACCUCGCCCCACUCUACCGAUUUCCCGCCCAGCCGCUGCUCUACGCCCCCGCUUGCGCCCGCACAGAUAACCCUAGAGAGUAGGUCGUGGGGGAGGACGGAGAGGUCAUGGGGGAGGAAGAAGAGGAGGACGGAGGCCACAGGGGAGGAAGAAGAUGGCCCCCUCAUUCCCGAAGUUGGUCUUCGCAUCAACUGCGCUCGCUCCGCCUCUGCUUCCAGCGACCACGCCCGCCACAGUCUGUCACACAUAUCCAGUUGGAAUGCUAUGGCAGGGUUAUUAGCCAGGCAUGAGGCCUUUUGUCUUCUUAAAAACUACUUGGUUGGAAUGAUUGACGUGCCAUGCCACCGCUGCACUGAGUAGCAGCGACGACGGCUGGUGAGCAGCAACCUGAGGUGCCGGUGUUAAGCGCGGAUGGCCAGAUCUGUGCGGCGGAGGGCGUGGCCGAUGCUGGGAUGGAGGUCUUGCUGCCGGCCUCCAAGCAGUCGGUAGGCGCAAUGGAUCCUAAAGCUCCAGGCUGGAUCAAAAGUUAUGUCGAUUUGCAGUGUUACAUGCUCAUUGUGACUGAAAACUGGACUUAUUAGUGUAGGCAUAAACAUUGCAGGCACUGAUAAGAAAAGAUAUCUUAAACAAGUACUGCACCUUGAGAUCUAGAUGAUUCUGCAUUUAGUGUUAUGAUCUGUAGUUAUAGCUGAUACUACUAAAUGCUCAGAUGUACUUGUAUCUUUAAAAAUCAGUGAUUUAGCGAACAUUCUGCCAAUUGACACAUGAAGCAGAGUAUAAGAAGUUAUAGCAUGUUACAGAUAAACCAGAGGAAUUGGCAUGUAUAUGCGUGUGUUCCUGAUUUUGUAGGGUACCUUACAGAUUCAGUUGGGAUAUGUGGUCAAAGAUUAGGACACUAAUAUCAGUGUAGGUUACAUUUAUAGUUGCUUAAUUCAUGAUGCGCUCGUCUCGCCAUUUUCAUUCUGUGCGUGUAGGGUGAGGAUUGGGGUGGAAGCACCUGUGAGGACACCUUGUCCCAGUCAAGCACGAGCUGGCGGCGCAUAUGUUAUCCAGGAUCCUGCUCAGGGGUUUAGCCAUCGGCGACGAGAUCCAAAAGAUGGCCACGGCGGCAGUGGUGGCGGCAGUUGCCCCGGGUGGUGAUGUAGAGGGGAGGUACCAGUAGCAGGUGAGCACGAAGAUCUCUGAGAUUUUCUUCUGCAUUUGUUUCGUGCGCACACAUAAAUGGAUGACUCUUCUUCUUGGAGCCCUAGGUUGUGGCAAAACCCCCUAUUGCUAGCACUUGCAGGAAAGCUCAACCAAAACCAAAAGGCGCGACCGUUGGUGGUUUUCUGGUGGUACCUCAAGGAGACCUUCUUCCCAGGUGACCCAUUCCACGUGGCGGUGCCGGUGUGUGAGCGAGCUGCCAGACCGCACGUGGCGGCGGCGCUUCGAUACUUCUUCCCGUUCCUGGAGUGGGCGCCAGCCUACGGGCUGGGCAACUCAAGUCGGACCUCAUCGCCGGUACUUCUUCUGGUUCCUUGAAGUUUGAUAUCCAUGCCCCCUUGUUAGAGCGGUGGAGAGAGAUGCGACAUGGAGUGAGGGAACUGUCGGCACCGGCAUAAGAGCUUCAUUCGGAUUUAUGUGAAUAUAAGCGUAAGAGGUCCACUGGGAAUGAUACAAAAUAAUUUCAGACGUGAGUAUCCGGAUCGCAUUGCUACUGGUCGUCUCUUGCGAUGGCGUACAGCGGGCUUUUGACAAAGCCAAGUCAUGGCCUCAUGAGGAUGCUUUUGGAUUAACUGUAGUGCAUUGUACCGUUUUAUGCUCCAUGCGAGAGUUGUACAUAUCCUCAUUAGAUGUACCCCUGCCUAUGAUGGUUCUGAACUCAAAUAUUAGAGUAUCUGUAUAUUUGAUCAAUGUGGUACUAUUAUAUCCUAAUGUUAUAACAUAUAUGCCCGUAUUGAUAUACAUGAGUGUGAUUAAGA